Molecule: ribosomal RNA, 460 nt
Filed under: uncultured bacterium
Lineage: Bacteria
Description: partial 16S ribosomal RNA
Rfam family: Bacterial small subunit ribosomal RNA
Source: RNAcentral
CCUACGGGAGGCAGCAGUGAGGAAUAUUGGUCAAUGGACGCGAGUCUGAACCAGCCAAGUAGCGUGAAGGAUGACUGCCCUAUGGGUUGUAAACUUCUUUUAUAAAGGAAUAAAACGAGGCACGUGUGCCUUUUUGCAUGUACUUUAUGAAUAAGGAUCGGCUAACUACGUGCCAGCAGCCGCGGUAAUACGUAGGUGGCAAGCGUUGUCCGGAUUUAUUGGGUGUAAAGGGCGUGCAGCCGGGAAGACAAGUCAGAUGUGAAAUCCCGCGGCUCAACCGCAGAACUGCAUUUGAGACUGUUUUUCUUGAGGACCGUAGAGGUCAUCGGAAUUCGUUGUGUAGCGGUGAAAUGCUUAGAUAUAAGGAAGAACACCAGUGGCGAAGGCGGAUGACUGGACGGCAACUGACGGUGAGGCGCGAAAGCGUGGGGAGCAAACAGGAUUAGAUACCCCAGUAGUC